UACGGGGGGGGCAAGCGUUGUUCGGAAUUACUGGGCGUAAAGGGUCUGUAGGUGGCCAACUAAGUCAGACGUGAAAUCCCUCAGCUUAACUGGGGAACUGCGUCUGAUACUGGUUGGCUUGAGUGCAGGAGAGGAAUGCGGAAUUCCAGGUGUAGCGGUGAAAUGCGUAGAGAUCAGGAAGAACAUCGGUGGCGAAGGCGCUCUGCUGGACCAUAACUGACACUCAGGGACGAAAGCUAGGGGAGCGAAUGGG
This 253-nucleotide ribosomal RNA is filed under the name uncultured bacterium. RNAcentral describes it as "partial 16S ribosomal RNA". It matches the Rfam family "Bacterial small subunit ribosomal RNA", at positions 524 to 776 of the family's 1533-position model. The record is from RNAcentral.